Long non-coding RNA from Heterocephalus glaber (naked mole-rat), 2548 nucleotides. NCBI's taxonomy places the organism in Eukaryota, Metazoa, Chordata, Mammalia, Rodentia, Bathyergidae. The record is from Ensembl.
GGUUCUUAUUUUUUCCUCAUUCCCCUGCUACAGAUUCAUUCUUUUCUUUACUCCCAAUCUUCUUUUGUUUUGGGGGGAUUUUUUUUGGUACUGGGAAUUGAACUUGGGACCUUGUCCUUUCGAGGCAGGUGGUGGAACCACUGAGCUACAUCCCCAGCCCCAACUCCCAAUCUUCUUUCUCCAUGCUCAGACCACUCUGCUCCAUCAUCUCAUGAAUGCCCCUAACCCCUAUCUUCAGGGAGGCAGAUUUAAGACUCAGGGCUCUGUCUUCUAAUAUUUGGCCACCUCACGCAUAAACUAAUUUUCUUGCAAAACUCAUGGUUUCAUUGAUUGGUAUACUGUGUUGUUGCACAGUGGGCUUUUCUAAGCAACAGCAUUUAGGGGUAAAGUAACAGAAUGCCUGAAAUUUGCCAGUGGCUUGACAUUGAUAACAAAUAGUAAAUAUAUGAGUGUUCGCACACAUGCGAGAGAGGGAAGAAGGAGGAAGAGAAGGAGGGAAGAAGAGAGAAAGGCAUGGAGAGAAACAGAACAAGAACAAAUACUAAUGAUAUAGGGCGUAUGACAUAGGGAUGAUAUACGGACCUCUAAAUAAUACAAAGGAAAAAUUAUAACUCCCAGCCUGCUAGAUGUCCGAUACACCAAGUUUGUGUUCUCUAAAAUUGAAGAAUGAAAUCUAGGAACAACAGAGGUUAUGAGUAAGAAACAUUUAUUGAGAGAAAGAGAGAUAGAAGGGAGCCCGGAAAGUGAGCCCUCAGACCUCACUGGGGUGUUUUGUUUUGUUUGGGUUUUUUUGGUACCAGGGAUUGAACUUGGGUCCUUGUGCUUGCACAGCAGGUGGCAAAACCACUGAGCUAAAUCCCUGGGCCUUGUUUUGUUUUGUUUUGAGAUAGGGUCUCACUAUGAACUUGAGGCUGGCCUUGAACUCACUAUGUAACCUAGGCUGGCCUCAAAACUCACAGCAAUCCUCCUGCCUCAGCCUCCAAGUGCUGGGAUUACAGGCAUAAGCCACCAUGCUAGGCGAGGACCCUGCUUUUCAGAGGAGUUUUAUAGAGCAAAACCAUGAGGUGAGGCAGGUAUGAGGUAGGACAAAACUAUAGUCAAUCAAUAAGAUUAUAAGUAUAGGGGCUGAGGAUUUAGUUCAGUGGUUCUGCCGCCUGCCUUGCAAGCGCAAGUUCCCGAGUUCAAUCCCCGGUACCAAAAAACAAACAAACAAACAAAAGAUUACAAGUAUAGUCUCUUAGAUAAUAUUGAUCCAAUGGAAAAAUCACAAGGUGGGUAUAAGGUGGGGCAAAACUGGUCAACCAGUAAGAUUACAAGUACAGUUGCUUAGGUAAUUUUUUUUUUUUUUUUUUGCUUAGGUAAUAUUGAUUAAAUGGUGAUCAAAUGAAGAGGCAAGUCACAUAGCAAGUGUACAUGGAAUGAAGAGAGUUUUCUGGGAAGGAAUGGGGUUAAAUUUGAAAGAUGAAGACACUGGCCCAAAGAAGUGAAGAGACUCCCCCAAAUCAGAAGCUAAUGAACAUUAAAAUUGUGUCUGAACCCCGAAGCCACUACAAGACAUAUGCCAAAACCUGGAAACGAAUUGGGUGAUGUAUUUCUAAGAAAAUGUAAACCUAUACAUUGCUCAUGGUUUCAGAGGACAUGUAACCCACCCACCUAGCAUCUAAGGCUGAGGAAUCUUUGGUAGGAUUUCAUGAAAGGGAUGGACCCAGUGUCCAGUCCUUUAUUUCUUUAUUUGUGUGUGUGUGUGUGUGUGUGUGUGUUAAAGGACUGAAUCCUAGGUCUUCACACUGAGACACAUCCCCAGCCCUCUAGCCCUCCACCUUUUUAUUUUGAGACAGAAUCUUCCUGAGUCAUGUGCCAUCAUUCCCAGUUGGUUUCCAGUUGAGAAGACAGGGCCCUACUUUUCUUUUUAACUGAUGGUUUAUAACUGUGUAAAUUUACAAGGUACAAAGUGAUGUAAUUUAUGAAUACAAUGUGGAAUAAGUAAAUCAAGCUAGUCUAUCCAUCACCUCAAAUACGUAACAUUUUUUCAGUGAGACUGGGCUUUAUUCUUUGUUAUUUUGAAGUGUACAAUGUUGUUAUUAACUAUAUGCUAUACAAUAAAUUUUUUGAAAAAUCCCUGCAGUUAUUGUGCUUAUCCCAGUUGCUCCUGCUGCUGCCCAAGUAAUCUGUGCGUUCCUGUGAGGGGGAGGCAGUGGCCACGUGUUGCUGCUCCGUAGGCACGUUCCCCUUUGAAAAGGAAUAAACCAGCAUUGUGUUUGUGCCACUCCCUGGGUAUUCCUACUGCGUUUUUCCUGAACUUGGUUAGCUCUGGGGCAGAGGAUCUGAAGAACUGAAAAGUGGAUUCUGGGUGAAUUUGACAGGAGUCGAACCUAAGGAGUUGUCUGUUCAUGUUUAAACCUAAAAGGAAGCAGAAACUAACGGCCACACAACAAAAGCUGCAGCACACAAUAAAUAUGAGUUAGUAAGAAACCAGAAAGAGAUGGGGGAAAGUCAAUUAUUUAAAUGAAACUAGACGGGAAGAAAAGCAGCAAGAUAAAUCACGUAC